RNAcentral lists this ribosomal RNA (444 nucleotides) under uncultured soil bacterium. RNAcentral describes it as "bacterial SSU rRNA". It matches the Rfam family "Bacterial small subunit ribosomal RNA", at positions 26 to 518 of the family's 1533-position model. The record is from RNAcentral.
AGAACGAACGCUGGCGGCAGGCUUAACACAUGCAAGUCGAACGGUUGUAGCAAUACAGCAGUGGCAGACGGGUGAGUAACACGUGGGAACCAUCCUAGGGGUACGGAACAACUCAGGGAAACUUGAGCUAAUACCGUAUACGUCCGUGAGGAGAAAGAUUUAUCGCCCCUAGACGGGCCCGCGUAGGAUUAGGUAGUUGGUGAGGUAACGGCUCACCAGGCCUACGAUCCUUAGCUGAUCUGAGAGGAUGAUCAGCCACACUGGGACUGAGACACGGCCCAGACUCCUACGGGAGGCAGCAGUGGGGAAUCUUGGACAAUGGGCGCAAGCCUGAUCCAGCCAUGCGCGUGAGUGAAGAAGGCUUUCGGUGUAAAGCUCUUUUACCAGGGACGAUAAUGACGGUACCUGGAGAAUAAGCCCGGCAAACUUCGUGCCAGCAGCCGC